Ahaetulla prasina is the source of this 3663-nucleotide long non-coding RNA. RefSeq lists it as uncharacterized. The transcript is spliced from 3 exons. NCBI's taxonomy places the organism in Eukaryota, Metazoa, Chordata, Lepidosauria, Squamata, Colubridae. The record is from RefSeq and is a predicted model, not a curated record.
UUAGAAGCCUCUGCCUUUGAUGAAGCAACCCUUUUCUUUCCAUUCUGAAAGGCUGCAUUGAGGUCGCACAGCCUCAAUCUGAAGAGAAGGUGGGCCCAAUUCUUUGGAGGAUGCUAUUUGUACAGAAACUUACUGAUAUGCUGCUCAUCAUAGUUGUGGCCCUGACAGUUGUGUGAAGGUCCUCUUGCCUGCUUGUGAGUGCUCCCAAUCUCACAAUGUGGCCUCUGCUUCCUUGGUUCCUCAUCCCUCACUACAGAUUUCCUAUUCACGAGACCAUCUGCUAAAAAUUAAGCAACAUUUCUUUAAGGAGCAGCUUUCUGUGAUCCCCCCCCUUUACAAACGCGGAGGAGAUUCUAACACAGGAGGAGGCAAUUCCCACGGAGCCAUGGAUUACCAAAAAAACCAAACAACGAAAGCGGCAAAAGAGAGGUAAAUGGGCUGGGAUCUUAAACAGAUUAAGAAAUCGCGAUAAAACUCUUUUGCCUUCAAUUUUCCUAACAAAUGUACGUUCACUUGCAAAUAAGAUGGAUGAAAUACUCCUCUUAAACAAAUACUAUUCUGAUUUUUGCAAUUCAGCAGUCCUAUGCUUCUUUGAAAACUGGUUAAAUGAAUCAAUUGAAGAUAGCAGCCUGAACAUUCCAGGGUUUCAGAUUGAAUGAUCAGACAGAAUUACAGAAACAUCUGGUAAAAAGAAAGGAGGAGGCUUAUGUCUAUAUAUUAACAGCAACUGGUGUCAAGAUUUAAAAGUAAUUUACAAAUUCUAUGACAACAAUUUAGAGAUUUUAAUUAUAAACUGCAAACCAUACUAUUCGCCUCAUGAAUUUUCCUCAUUUCUUCUAAUUGCUGUUUAUGUCCCACCACAAGCCUGUGUAAACAAGGCAUUACGAACUCUAGCUGACCAAAUCAUGGAGGCUGAACCAAACACCCUGAUUCACUGGCCAUUAUUUUGGGAGAUCUAAACAAGGCAAACUUAAGGAAAGAGCUACCAAAAUACUUUCAGCAUGUCAAUUGUCCCACCAGAGGCAAGAAUACUCUAGACCAUUGCUACACAACACUAAAAGAUGCUUAUCGGUCUUUACCACGAGCAGCUGUAGGACACUCUGAUCAUUGCAUGAUUCACCUUGUACCUGCUUAAAGGGAAAGACUUAAAACCAAAAAACCAACAAUUAAAUCAGUGAAGACCUGGACGGAGGAGGCAAAAUUAAAGCUACAGGUAUGCUUUGACUGCACUGAUUGGAAUAUUUUUGAAGAUACCUCUGCAGACCUGGAUGAACUCACAGAUACUGUAACAUCAUAUGUCAGCUUCUAUGAAGACCUAUGUGUACCUACAAGGAACUUGCGAAUAUACAGUAACAACAAACCUUGAUUCACACCUAAACUUAAGCAGCUACGUCAUUCCAAAGAGGAAGCCUAUAGGAAAGGUGAUAAAAUGCUGUACAAUCAGGCCAGAAAUGCACUAACAAGGGAGAUCAGAGCAGCAAAAAGAAGCUUCUCUGAAAACCUAAAGAAUCAGUUUUCAGCAAAUGAACCAGCAAACAUGUGGAAAACUCUUAAAAAUAUCAUAAGCUAUGGCAAACCUCCUUCCCAGGCUGAAGGUAAUCAACAACUGGCGGAUGACCUGAAUGAGUUUUACUGCAGGUUUGAAAGGAAACUACAGCCACCUAUCUCCACAACCCCCAUCUCAGACACACCAACAACAGCCAAGCCUCCUACAAUUGACCCCAUCCCAUUGGGUUCACAACCCCUAGUGAUCACAGAGAAGGAAGUGCAGGACCUAUUUCACAGACAAAAGCCAGGAAAAGCUCCAGGCCCAGACAAGAUAACUCCUUCUUGCUUAAAAGUCUGUGCUGACCAAUUGGCCCCAUCUUCAUCCAUAUCUUCAAUAAAUCAUUAGAGAUGUGCUAUGUUCCUUCUUGCUUCAAACGCUCUGCUAUCAUCCCAGUGCCAAAGAAGCCCAUCAUCAAGGAACUGAAUGACUACAGAUGAGUUGCUCUAACAUCUGUAGUCAUGAAAACCUCUGAAAGGCUAGUUCUGUCCCACUUGAAAACCAUCACGGAUCUGCUGUUAGACCUCUUGCAAUUUGCAUACUGAGCAAAUAGAUCAACAGAUGAUGCUGUUAAUAUGGCUACUAUAUAUAUAUACUAUAUAGAUACUAUAGAGCACUGCACACCAGAACAACUAGACACAAGAACAGUUUUUUCCUGAAGGCCAUCACUCUGCUAAACAAAUAAUUCCCCCAACACUGACAAACUAUUUACUAAAUCUGCACUACUAUUAAUCUUCUCAUCGUUCCCAUCACCCAUCUCUUUCCACUUAUGACUGUAUGACUGUAACUUUGUUGCUGGUAAUCCUUAUGAUUUAUGUUGAUAUUGAUUGUUCCUGAUUGCUUAUUUGUACCCUGUGCUUAUCAUUAAGUGUUGUAUCAUUAAGUGUUAAAUUGUACCCUAUGACCAUCAUUUAUGUUGUAAAUGUUGUACCUUGAUGAAGGUAUCUUUUCUUUUAUGGACACUGAGAGCAUAUGCACCAAGACAAAUUCCUUGUGUGUCCAAUCACACUUGGCCAAUAAAAAAAUUCUAUUCUAUUCUAUUCUAUUCUAUUCUAUUCUAUUCUAUUCUAUUCUAUUCUAUUCUAUUCUAUUCUAUUCUAUUCAGUAUGAUGAAUAGCACUUCAGCUUAAAGGUGUGAAAAGGCCUUCUCUCAUGAACUAACGGUACUGCCUUGAUUUAAGAGAGUUUACAUUAUAUUUGGUUGUUUUUGUUGGAGGAGGGGCAUUUUUGAGCUCCUUUUGGAGGAAGAAAAUUUUUAAAAAUGCUGUUAUUUGUAUAAUAAUGAACAACAAUGAUAAUAAGCUUAGGAACUUAAACCUUGAAGUUUUAACAACCUGUAGGCUUUGAGACAUUUUGCAUCAACAUGUAUAGCAGAGUGCUUUGUAUAAUUUUUUUCCUUAAAGAAGUAUUAAUCUAUAUUUAGACUGCACAGGGUACCUGAAAAGAAUAGUAUCAGGAAGAAAGGAAUGAGAAAGAAAAACAACAGUAAAGGCUACUGUGCGUACCUAAGGUUGUUUCAGGUGAAGGUGGCAUUGGUGCAAAGCUUAUGAUUUUGGAGACAGACGGGAAAGAAACCACAGAACUUCUGUUACAUUAGAGAACAUUUCAAAUAUAGAACAGGUAGUUAUUUAAGAGAGAGCGAUGUUGAUAAAGCAAGAGGAGAAGUGACUGGUGGAAAAGACAAGAAUACGGGCAACUGAUAUUCUGUCUUCGGAUUUGCAAUAAACCACCCACAAUGAGUCAAGAGCAGUUGACAUGUUUUGUCAGAAGGCUUGGCAUCACUCAUGAACACUGACAUUUUUCCAUGUCCUGAUGGCAGUAAUCCUGCACUGCAUGCAGUUGCCUUAACUUGUUUCCUAUCGAAUACUAACGGCUUUAUGUGAAUUUUUGUUCUCCACUCAGUGAGCAAAAUGGCUCACUGAGGAAAGGAGCAAAACCUUUUCAGGUUUCUUUAUUCCUUCUUUAUGAACUUGACCCAUUUGUCUCUGGGUUAAGGACCAGGAAUGUAUAUAGAUAAGGCAAUCAAAAUGCUAUAAUGUCUUUCUUAAAUAUAUGCUUUGUACAAAUCAAGAAGGGCUGGUUCCCCGCCCCACCUCAAAAGGGUAAUAGUGCUUCCA